GACGAACGCUGGCGGCGUGCCUAAUACAUGCAAGUAGAACGCACAGUUUAUACCGUAGCUUGCUACACCAUAGACUGUGAGUUGCGAACGGGUGAGUAACGCGUAGGUAACCUGCCUGGUAGCGGGGGAUAACUAUUGGAAACGAUAGCUAAUACCGCAUAAUAUUGAUUAUUGCAUGAUAAUUAAUUGAAAGGUGCAAUUGCACCACUACCAGAUGGACCUGCGUUGUAUUAGCUAGUAGGUGAGGUAACGGCUCACCUAGGCGACGAUACAUAGCCGACCUGAGAGGGUGAUCGGCCACACUGGGACUGAGACACGGCCCAGACUCCUACGGGAGGCAGCAGUAGGGAAUCUUCGGCAAUGGACGAAAGUCUGACCGAGCAACGCCGCGUGAGUGAAGAAGGUUUUCGGAUCGUAAAGCUCUGUUGUAAGAGAAGAACGGGUGUGAGAGUGGAAAGUUCACACUGUGACGGUAUCUUACCAGAAAGAGACGGCUAACUACGUG
Molecule: ribosomal RNA, 505 nt
Filed under: uncultured bacterium
Lineage: Bacteria
Description: partial 16S ribosomal RNA
Rfam family: Bacterial small subunit ribosomal RNA
Source: RNAcentral